GGGGUAUUAGCUCAUCUGGUAGAGCGCAACACUGGCAGUGUUGAGGUAAGCGGUUCGAGUCCGCUAUGCUCCACCA
This 76-nucleotide transfer RNA is filed under the name Candidatus Gallipaludibacter merdavium. RNAcentral describes it as "tRNA-Ala". It matches the Rfam family "tRNA". From Rfam's summary of the family: Transfer RNA (tRNA) molecules are approximately 80 nucleotides in length. Their secondary structure includes four short double-helical elements and three loops (D, anti-codon, and T loops). The record is from RNAcentral. Lineage: Bacteria; Pseudomonadati; Bacteroidota; Bacteroidia; Bacteroidales.